AUGCCUUCAGCAGCACAUAUACCAAAAAAUUAAUGCCAUGCAAAGAUUAACAUGGCCCUUGAGCAACGAUGAUGUGCAAAUUCAUGAAACACUAUAUAUAUUU
RNAcentral lists this small nuclear RNA (103 nucleotides) under Carlito syrichta (Philippine tarsier). Lineage: Eukaryota; Metazoa; Chordata; Mammalia; Primates; Tarsiidae. The record is from RNAcentral.